UAGAAGUAAAAGUCGU
RNAcentral lists this ribosomal RNA (16 nucleotides) under Alternaria sp. Its description in RNAcentral is "partial 18S ribosomal RNA". The record is from RNAcentral. Lineage: Eukaryota; Fungi; Ascomycota; Dothideomycetes; Pleosporales; Pleosporaceae.